GCUUCAGCAAAAUCACUCUAGUUCUCCCCCAUGUGCAUGUUAAUAAAUUUGUAUGCCCUUUCUCCAAUUAAUCUGCCUUUUGUCAGUUGACUUUUCAGUGAAACUUCAGAGAACAAAAAGGAAGCUUUCCAUUGGCUACUACAGUGGCUUUAAUGGAAGUAAAGUCAUCAACGUUUAUUUUUGACAAAAUCACAGUUUAAUUGGCAGUAUAUUUGUUUUCUUUUUGUUUUAUUUGAGAUGGAGUCUCACUCUGUCGCCCAGGCUAGAGAGCAAUGGCGCGAUCUUGGCUCACUGCAGCCUCCGCCUCCCCAGUUCAAGCAUUCGCCUGCCUCAGCCUCCCGAGCAGUUGAGUAGUAGUAUAUUUGUAAUGGUACAUAAAAUAAUGUCUGUUUUUAAAUAAACAUUUACAUUGUGAAUCAAAAGUUAUCUCAACUCUCCAUCAAUUUUUUUUUUCUUUUUUGAGAUGGCAGAGAGAGAUUACAUCUCAAAAAAAAAAAAAAAAACUUGUUUGUUUUAUAUUUAAUAGUGGUAACUCCUCUGAAGACAUAGUUGUUUUAUUACACAAAAAAUAUUAAAUUUAUCUUAUUUAACUAAGUUGUAUCCAAAUCAUGUUAACUUGAAAAACAUUUGGAUCGGUUCUUAUAUUUCUAGGAGUUUGGGGAAUAUUUAUUUAUCAAUGAUUUUUUUUCCAAGCCAAGUUAGAAUAGAACACUUUUAGAGGAUUUUAUAAAUGAAUUUUGCAGUGCUAUCCAGAGUUAAGAAAAAUCACAUACAGAACAUACAUUAAUAGACAUACAAACACAAAUAGAGAUCUCAUAGCUUUCAUCCUGAAAUUUUAGUCACGAAUCAGGCAUAAAUAUUCUGACGGUUAAUUUUAGAUGUCUGCUGGAUUGGAUUAAGAGAUACUAACAUAGCUGGUAAAGCACAGUUUCUAGGCAUGAGUGUGAGGGUGUUUCUGGAAGACACUGAGAUAAGGAAGAUCCACUCUGACCCAAUGUGGAUGGGCACUGAUACGAUUUGACUGUGUCCCCACCCAGAUCUCAUCUUGAAUUUUAGCUCCUAUAAUCCUUACAUGUUGUGGGAGGGACCCGGUUGGGGACGACUGAAUCAUGGUGGUGGUUACUGCCAUGCUGUUCUCAUGAUAGUGAGUGAGUUCUCAUGGUAUAAUGAUUUUAUAAGGGGCUUUUCCCCUUUGGCUUAGCACUUCUUGCUGCUGCCAUGUGAAGAAAGAUAUCUUUGCUUCCCCUUCCAUCAUGAUUGUGAGGCCCCUCCAGCCAUGUGGAACUGUCAGUCCAUUAAACCUCUUUGUUCUUUGUAAAUUGCUCAGAGUCAGGUACUUCUUCAUAGCAGUAUAAAAACAGACGAAUACAGGCACCAUCCAAUUGCUUGAGAGCCCAGAUAGAACAAAAAGGAAGAGGAAAGGUGAAUUAUCUCCUUCUGAAACGGAAACAUCUUUCUCUUGCCUUUGACAUCAGAACUUCAGGGUCUCAGGCCUUUGGCCUCAGAACGAGAGUUACACCAUUGGCUUAACUGAUUCUGAGUCCUUUGGACAUGGACUGAGCAAUGCUACCAGCUUUCCUGGUUCCCCAACUUGGAGACAGCCUAUCAUGGACUUUCUCAGCCUUCAUAAUUAUGUGAACCUUCUCUCAUCUGUCUAUAUACAUAUAUCCUACAGAUUGUGCCUUUCUGGGGAACCCUGACUAAUGUGAUGACAAUAAUAAAAAAUUUACUAGUUU
Molecule: long non-coding RNA, 1736 nt
Filed under: Macaca fascicularis (crab-eating macaque)
Lineage: Eukaryota; Metazoa; Chordata; Mammalia; Primates; Cercopithecidae
Description: lncRNA (ENSMFAG00000064438.1)
Source: RNAcentral